ACGUGCCCGAGAGUGGGGGAUAACGAAGCGAAAGCUUUGCUAAUACCGCAUACGAUCUCAGGAUGAAAGCAGGGGACCGCAAGGCCUUGCGCUCACGGAGCGGCCGAUGGCAGAUUAGGUAGUUGGUGGGAUAAAAGCUUACCAAGCCGACGAUCUGUAGCUGGUCUGAGAGGACGACCAGCCACACUGGGACUGAGACACGGCCCAGACUCCUACGGGAGGCAGCAGUGGGGAAUUUUGGACAAUGGGCGCAAGCCUGAUCCAGCCAUGCCGCGUGCAGGAUGAAGGCCUUCGGGUUGUAAACUGCUUUUGUACGGAACGAAAAGACUCUGGUUAAUACCUGGGGUCCAUGACGGUACCGUAAGAAUAAGCACCGGCUAACUACGUGCCAGCAGCCGCGGUAAUACGUAGGGUGCGAGCGUUAAUCGGAAUUACUGGGCGUAAAGCGUGCGCAGGCGGUUAUAUAAGACAGAUGUGAAAUCCCCGGGCUCAACCUGGGAACUGCAUUUGUGACUGUAUAGCUAGAGUACGGCAGAGGGGAUGGAAUUCCGCGUGUAGCAGUGAAAUGCGUAGAUAUGCGGAGGAACACCGAUGGCGAAAGGCAAUCCCCUGGGCCUGUA
RNAcentral lists this ribosomal RNA (620 nucleotides) under Acidovorax sp. RNAcentral's name for it is "bacterial SSU rRNA". It matches the Rfam family "Bacterial small subunit ribosomal RNA", at positions 124 to 739 of the family's 1533-position model. Lineage: Bacteria; Pseudomonadati; Pseudomonadota; Betaproteobacteria; Burkholderiales; Comamonadaceae. The record is from RNAcentral.